Long non-coding RNA from Sapajus apella (tufted capuchin), 365 nucleotides. RefSeq lists it as uncharacterized. The record is from RefSeq and is a predicted model, not a curated record. The transcript is spliced from 3 exons. Lineage: Eukaryota; Metazoa; Chordata; Mammalia; Primates; Cebidae.
AGUGCCUGCUUUCUCUUCCAGUAUCUAAGGAACAGUGAUCUGCAUGUGGGAAUGGUAACAUCUACACAGAGGCUGUGCUGUGAUUGGUGGAGAUUUCUAACAUAUUGGCUGCAAAUACGCAGCCCUUGUAUGGCAGGAAAGAGUUCCUAGAGAGAGAAGACAAAGACGGUCUGUGUUGCAAACGAAGCCCCAGGCUGAAGACUGGAGAUCUGAAUGUGCUACUUGCAAGGGAACUGGAGACAAUGAAAAUCGUGUCAGGACAAGUUGACAACGGGUCUCCGUGUAUAGGCCAUCAAAGCAAUUUGAUCGAAACACUUUGUAGCAAGAUGAUGGUGUUUUCUGUGAAAACAAUAAAGUGACUAAGA